GUUGUUUUAGGACAAAAACGCCCUCCUCCAGGCUAGAUGGACGUCAUGGCUACAAUAUGUGUCUCACAUUUUAUUGUCUCGAAUAUAUAGUUACACACAAGGUUGUUUUUAUUGAUCUCAGUUUGUCAGAUCAGCCUGCCAUGUUGUGGUAUUAUAAUCAGUGUCUGUAGGUGUCUCUGUGUCUCUGUGUCUCUGUGUCUCUGUGUGCCUCUGUGUCGGUGUCUGUGUGUAUGGCUGUGUGUGUGUGUUGCUGUCUCUGUGUGUCUGUGGGUGUCUCUGUGUGUCUGUGUCUCUGUGUGUGUGUGUCUCUGUGUCUCUGUGUCUCUGUGUCUCUGUAUCUCUGUGUCUCUGUGUCUCUGUGUCUCUGUGUCUCUGUGUGUCUGUGUCUCUGUGUCUCUGUGUCUCUGUGUGUCUGUGUCUCUCUGUGUGUGUGUGAAGGUGUCUCUGUCUCUCUGUGUCUCUGUGUGUCUGUGUCUCUGUGUGUGUGUCUGUAGGUGUGCAUGUGUCUCGGUGUGUCUGUGGGCGUCUCUGCGUCUCUAUGUGUCUGUAGGUGUCUCUGCGUCUCUGUGUGUCUGUAGGUGUCUCUGUGUGUUUGUGUCUCUGCGUCUCUGUGUGUCUGUAGGUGUCUCUGUGUCUCUGUGUGUCUGUGUGUCUCUGUGUGUCUGUGUCUGUAGGUGUCUCUGUGUGUAUGUGUGUCUCUGUGUGUCUGUGUCUCUCUGUGUCUGUAAGUGUCUCUGUGUCUGUGGGUGUCCCUGUGUCUGUGGGUGUCUCUGUGUCUCUGUGUCUCUGUGUCUCUGUGUCUCUGUGUGUCUGUGUGUGUCUGUGUGUGUGUCUGUAGGUGUCUGUGUGUGUGUCUGUAGGUGUCUGUGUGUGUGUCUGUAGGUGUCUGUGUGUAUGGCUGUGUGUGUGUCUGUGUGUCUGUGUGUAUGGCUGUGUGUGUGUCUGUGUGUAUGGCUGUGUGUGUGUCUGUGUGUCUGUAGGUGUCUGUGUGUGUCUCUGUGUGUGUCUGUGUGUAUGGCUGUGUGUGUGUCUGUGUGUCUGUAGGUGUCUGUGUGUGUCUCUGUGUGUGUCUGUGUGUAUGGCUGUGUGUGUGUCUGUGUGUCUGUAGGUGUCUGUGUGUGUGUCUGUGUGUGUCUGUGUGUCUGUAGGUGUCUCUAUGUGUGUCUGUAGGUGUCUCUAUGUGUGUCUGUGGGUGUCUCUGUGUGUCUGUAGGUGUCUGUGUGUGUGUCUGUAGGUGUCUCUCUGUGUGUCUGUAGGUGUCUGUGUGUGUGUCUGUAGGUGUCUCUCUGUGUGUCUGUAGGUGUCUGUGUGUGUGUCUGUAGGUGUCUGUGUGUGUGUCUGUAGGUGUCUCUCUGUGUGUCUGUAGGUGUCUCUCUGUGUGUCUGUAGGUGUCUGUGUGUGUGUCUGUAGGUGUCUGUGUGUGUGUCUGUAGGUGUCUAUGUGUGUGUCUGUAGGUGUCUGUGUGUAUGGCUGUGUGUGUGUCUGUGUGUCUGUAGGUGUCUGUGUGUGUCUCUGUGUGUGUCUGUGUGUAUGGCUGUGUGUGUGUCUGUAGGUGUCUGUGUGUGUCUCUGUGUGUGUCUGUGUGUAUGGCUGUGUGUGUGUCUGUGUGUCUGUAGGUGUCUGUGUGUGUCUCUGUGUGUGUCUGUGUGUGUCUGUGUGUCUGUAGGUGUCUCUAUGUGUGUCUGUAGGUGUCUGCGUGUGUGUCUGUAGGUGGCUGUGUGUGUGUGUUGGUGUCUCUGUUAGAGGUCAACCGAUUAAUUAGGGCCGAUUUCAAGUUUUCAUAACAAUCGGUAAAUCUUUUUUUUUUUUUUACACCUCUAUU
RNAcentral lists this long non-coding RNA (1822 nucleotides) under Salmo salar (Atlantic salmon). Its description in RNAcentral is "lncRNA (ENSSSAG00000106916.1)". Lineage: Eukaryota; Metazoa; Chordata; Actinopteri; Salmoniformes; Salmonidae. The record is from RNAcentral.